AAAAGAUAAAAUGAAUUUUUUAUUUAACAAUGAAAAUAUUAUUUUUAGGAAACAUUUGAUAUAGAUUAACCGAAAUAAUUGUAACAGUGUGAACAGCUUUUCCGAAUACUUGAAAUGAUAUAAAUAGUUUGUAAGUGAGUCAAGUGGCAUGCAAGUGUCUUCCGCAGUCUGAAGAAAGGGAAAUGACAAACAUCCGACGAAUUGGCACCGCUGUUUUAAUUCAACACCGACUCAAAUUCAAGCUCUCUCCAAAUAUUUGGAUAAAAUGUCUAAGCAAAGCAAAAAUAAUUUUACCCCAAAGUUAUUUAAAUACUCUGGAUUGAAUUAAAAUAUUUCUGCUCCUUAUAUUAUAAUAUCUAUAAUUAAUAAGAGAAUCAAUCUAUUAUAUUAAAAAAUAAUUUAAUAAAUAUUCCUUAAGAAUUAACGUUAAUUAAAUUGUAAG
RNAcentral lists this unclassified non-coding RNA (442 nucleotides) under Bombus terrestris (buff-tailed bumblebee). RNAcentral describes it as "misc RNA ENSBTSG00005039184.1". The record is from RNAcentral. Lineage: Eukaryota; Metazoa; Arthropoda; Insecta; Hymenoptera; Apidae.